GUUUCUAAGUUGGGAGUGUUGAUGAGUGGUGAAUUUCCACUCAUUUGAGGCUCUUUCCAUAGUUAUUUUGGCUUGUUUUAGUUUAAAAUUGGUGCUUUUAACGUGAUUUUUUUCAUAUUGGCAUGAAAAUGAAAUGGAGAGUUGAUUUAGAAUAUUUGAAGAAAUAAAGUGAACUUGAGGCAAAAAGAGAUCAAGAGCUGAAAAUGCAAUGAGGAGUUUGAAGAAAAGUUUAAUAAAUUUGACAUUGAGAGGAAGGAGCGAGAACUUGCUGCCAAAAAUGCUCAAAGCCAUCGACAGAAAGUGGAGAACUUGGAGAGCAUCACCGUGACUAGAAAAGAAGAAGAGGAACUCGAUGAAUUUGAAAUUACUAAAGGUACUUGCAUUCAAAGGGAAUAAUUUACUGUGACUUAAAGCUAUCAAACAUCCUGUUGGAUGAAAAUGGAAUCACGAAACUGUGUGAUUUUGGAUUAGCAAGAAAAUUGAGUGAUAUAUAAAAAAACACCUUCCUCCCAGGUAGUUCACCUCUCUCUUCCCUCCUUUUUACCCUAAUAUGAACAAAGGAAAAGUUAAAUUGGUGGCAUAACUGUUUGGAAGUUCAUUAAAGGUAAACUGUUUGAAAGUGCUUUUGACCAAUUAUAUGACGUUGAAGUUCAAUCAUGAUUCCUUUUCCUCUUGUAGUUCUUAUAAAAAAUUUAUUUCUUUGGUUUCUCAAAACCAUCUAUGAACCUUUCAGAUAUAAUUUGGCAUCCAUCUGAUUUCUUAGUCUGACCUGUAAUGCCUCGCAGAAAAUCAGAUAAAGGUUCAGAUGCAAUUCCUUCACUUUCAUUUGAUGCACCACCUCAGCUGUCUAAUUUUGUCAAAAUGUCAAAGGAGCAAUAAGAAUAGUAGAAUCAUCAUUAUUAGUGGGAAUACUCCCUCAGGGGAGAAGCAAAAUGUGCAGAUACCUUGAGCUUUUUUAGCAGCAAUGCUGAUGCAGCCAACAUCUUGACCAAUGACUCUAUUGUGUUGGUUCUAGUCAAAAUCCUUCGUCAC
This is a long non-coding RNA of Solanum tuberosum (potato), 1032 nucleotides long. RefSeq lists it as uncharacterized. The record is from RefSeq and is a predicted model, not a curated record. The transcript has 3 exons. Lineage: Eukaryota; Viridiplantae; Streptophyta; Magnoliopsida; Solanales; Solanaceae.